Polistes dominula (European paper wasp) is the source of this 612-nucleotide long non-coding RNA. The record is from RefSeq and is a predicted model, not a curated record. Lineage: Eukaryota; Metazoa; Arthropoda; Insecta; Hymenoptera; Vespidae.
CAAAGUGUGUCUGGAGAGUUGCAUUAAUACAGGCGCGCAUUUUCGUUUCUUUUCUCCAGUACAUCCUGGUUUCGUUUUCCCACUAUAUCACCGUGUUUCAUUUUUUUCAAAUCACACCCAUUCUAAAGAAGUUUUCACUUCAAAAAAAGAAAACCAAAACGUCAUUAUCAUAUGUCGAUAAUAUAGGAAUCAUCAUUAUCGUUUAGAUUCGUGUAACGAGAAUAAGAAAUUUUACUGAUUAACAACGACGACGACGACGACGAGACAGCAAGAGGCCUUCGUUCUUCUUUGCGUGUUCGCCACUAUUUUUGUAGUAGAGGUCGAGACACGAAAGGAAAACGAACGGGUUGUCGCGUGGUUGGUGAGAUUUUAACAUCCAGUACGGCUCGAGGGCUUCAGUCGGAUCGAGCUCAGGAGUUCUCCUCUUCUGACACGUAGUCUUUCUACUACUCAUCAUCAUCAUCAUCAUUUUCAUUAUCAUCAUCAUCAUUAUCAUCAACAUCAUAUCCAGUUAAAUUUAUAAUCGUAUACAAUAAAAACCAUUCGACGGGGGAAUAAAAUAAAUCUUCUAUUUUUAAAAACAAACAAAUAUAAGAAAUAAAGGAAACACAA